CUAAUUCUACUGUGCUAUGGAAAGAAGAUCUAAAAGGGCCGGCUACCUGAUUGACAGCCAGGCCUUCACUGCACUGUAAUUCUCGAAGAACUGGAUUAUACAUGUUAAACAGUUUAGAUUUCACUGGCCUAGCUACUGUGUCUGUAUAGACCUGAAGCCUUAUAAUUUAAUGUCUAAGGAUUUGCACAAACAGCAGGGACUUGUGAGUAUCUUUUUUUCAUUUUAAUUGAGCUUUUGCAU
Pelobates cultripes (western spadefoot toad) is the source of this 240-nucleotide non-coding RNA. The record is from the annotation of a GenBank genome assembly. Lineage: Eukaryota; Metazoa; Chordata; Amphibia; Anura; Pelobatidae.